GUCGUUUUCGGCAUAGCUUAUCGAAUACGGAUCCUCACAAAGUUAUGAUGACGAAUCGCAUCACGUUAAGCUCUGCUUGUUAAUGACAC
Molecule: microRNA precursor, 89 nt
Filed under: Caenorhabditis remanei
Lineage: Eukaryota; Metazoa; Nematoda; Chromadorea; Rhabditida; Rhabditidae
Description: block2892
Source: RNAcentral